UCUUGAAUGGCACAGUCUCGACGAACGUGGUGUGGUACUCUUCUAGCACCCUGGAAGAAUGUAUGGUAUAUGGUAAGAACUUCAGUCAUAUAAAGAGCUAUGUUGAGACAAUUAGCAUAAUAUAUGCUUUCUUGAGACCAUCAGAUCAUGUGUCACUUUGUGCAUUUACGGAUAUGCAGGAAAAAAUUCAGAUGUGCCAAACUGAUAUUUUGAGAUGAACUAAAACUUACUUGUAUCUUCUGCUGGGAGCAGUGAACAGCAGCAAGAUCCUUUCCCAGAACUGGUUACCAGGCAAGCUCUCAAUGGCCAUGAAGGCAAAAUAGCCCCAGAGGACAGAUGUUGGGAUCUUCUUGAGUAGUGGCAUAGCAGCGACACAACCCC
Molecule: long non-coding RNA, 381 nt
Filed under: Setaria italica (foxtail millet)
Lineage: Eukaryota; Viridiplantae; Streptophyta; Magnoliopsida; Poales; Poaceae
Description: long non-coding RNA (SITA_LNC002495)
Source: RNAcentral